CGCCUCCGAGGUCGGAUCCUCCGACGGCCCUCCGGCAUCCACCUCCCCCAGCCAUCGUUGCGUGUGUCGAUGCAGCGCCUCCCGCCUGCAGAGCGGGCCAAACCAGACGGUCAGAGAGGCGCACCUCGGAUCUCAGGAAGGGAGAGGACAGCAAGGGCAGCAGGUUCGGCAGCUGCCACCUGCUGAUGCACACAUGCUGCUGCUGUUAUCUAGGGGGCCAGGCCGGGGUGCAGUGCCCAUCAGGACCCAUCUGUGAAGGCGCCCCAAGGAUAGGACCACAGGGGGGAAGGCUCACGGGGAGAUCAGAUCGACUGGGGGUUAAAAAGACAAAAAAGAAGCCGCUCCAUUAACACAAAUCACCUCACGCGUCGCAGUCGAGUCGCCCAACAUCACCCGUCGCCAAACGCCUCUCCACUCUCACCACAGCUCCCGACCCACGACUCACGUGGCCCUUGAUGCCUCGAACGCUUGUCGCUGCGGGAUGCCGUUCUUGCUCCACAGGAUCUGCCAGACGCCCGUCCCACCUCCGCUCGUCGACGCGGCGCCCUGGCCGUCGCGAGCUUCGCCAUCAUCCUUGCAACCAUCACCACCACCACCACCACCACCAUAGGGGCCCGCAGCACCCAUCAGGUCACUGAAGGCAGGAGCCUCGGGGGUCGGCGGUGCACCACAACAAAAGAACAAGCCACGCCUCUGCAACGAACAGGUGUGGCGGCGGCGGCGACGGCGGCUGCUGGGUCGCGCGCACGCCCUACUAUUACCUUAACAUUGCACGCGGCUGGUAUUGUCGCGGUUGGAGCCGAUCACCAAACCUGUGACCUGUGCUAAUGCGUCGCGAGAACGCGCGGGCUGCAUGCUCAGUUGCUGGACUUGACCAACCUGGGCGCAAUGCAAUAGCCUUUGCUGCACAAAGCUGGUUGGGAAAUGUGAAGUGUUUGGAUGCUGUCCAAAGCUUCCUAGCUGCGAGUGGUCUGCGAAUGCCACUCUGAUCGAGAUUACGAAGCUAACCCAGCCCGGUAGCCAGCGCAGCCGCAACGGUAUCGACCCAAACCGGAUCAGGCUAUCGUUGCUCAAACCACCACUACCAGAGUAAUGGUUCCAUUGUUCCUACCUUGCCCAUGACGUCAGCUUUCACGGUGCUGAUGCCCACGAACUCCUCUUGCCGUACCCGGGCCUUUACCUCCACGAAGUCCAGGUACUCAGGCGUCACAAGCAGACUGCCAGGUACCUGCUCAACAGCAGAAAGAUGCAGGUGCCACGAUAGGUCGCAAUUGUUACAAAAAAAACAGGAGUACAAAGCAAAAAGCGCGAGGAGGUACUGGAUUGUGAGUCGCACGGCCACGAACGCAGUCUCCGCGAUGUCGCCAGCACGUCGCUGGCCACGUUCCCGUGCUGAUGGGUGUGCAUGCUCCUAGGGCCAUUGUAUAGCAGUAGGUAACGGCGCCAAUAGGUCGCCGGGGAGGUGGAGGUUGCAUGCAUGCAUGGUCGACGCUUGAACCACUGACGGGUGGCUUGC
Molecule: long non-coding RNA, 1516 nt
Filed under: Volvox carteri
Lineage: Eukaryota; Viridiplantae; Chlorophyta; Chlorophyceae; Chlamydomonadales; Volvocaceae
Description: long non-coding RNA (VCAR_LNC000186)
Source: RNAcentral